GAAAUGCGAUAAGUAAUGUGAAUUGCAGAAUUCAGUGAAUCAUCGAAUCUUUGAACGCACAUUGCGCCCGCCAGUAUUCUGGCGGGCAUGCCUGUUCGAGCGUCAUUUCAACCAUCAAGCCCCUGGCUUGUGUUGGGGACCUGCGGCUGCCCGCAGGCCCUGAAAAACAGUGGCGGGCUCGCUGUCACACCGAGCGUAGUAGCAUACAUUCUCGCUCAGGGCGUGCUGCGGGUUCCGGCCGUUAAACGACCUUCAUAACCCAAGGUUGACCUCGGAUCAGGUAGGAAGACCCGCUGACCUUAAGC
RNAcentral lists this unclassified non-coding RNA (305 nucleotides) under plant metagenome. Its description in RNAcentral is "partial contains 5.8S ribosomal RNA, internal transcribed spacer 2, and large subunit ribosomal RNA". The stretch from base 1 to 105 matches the Rfam family "5.8S ribosomal RNA", at positions 50 to 154 of the family's 154-position model. The record is from RNAcentral.